RNAcentral lists this ribosomal RNA (440 nucleotides) under uncultured bacterium. RNAcentral's name for it is "partial 16S ribosomal RNA". It matches the Rfam family "Bacterial small subunit ribosomal RNA", at positions 338 to 795 of the family's 1533-position model. The record is from RNAcentral.
CCUACGGGUGGCAACAGUGGGGAAUAUUGCACAAUGGGGGAAACCCUGAUGCAGCGAUGCCGCGUGGAGGAAGAAGGUUUUCGGAUUGUAAACUCCUUUUAUCAGGGACGCUAAUGACGGUACCUGAAGCAAAAGCUCCGGCUAACUACGUGCCAGCAGCCGCGGUAAUACGUAGGGAGCGAGCGGUGUCCGGAAUUAAUGGGUGUAAAGGGAGAGUAGGCGGGACGGCAAGGCAGAUGUGAAAACUGAGGGCUCAACUUUCAGACUGCAGUUGAAACUGCUAUUCUUGAGUGAAGUAGAGGUACGCGGAAUUCGUAGGGUAGCGGUGAAAUGCGUAGAUAUUAGGAGGAACUUCGGUGGCGAAGGCGGCUUACUGGGCCUUGACUGACGCUGAGGCUCGAAAGCGUGGGGAGCAAACAGGAUUAGAUACCCGGGUAGUC